This 497-nucleotide ribosomal RNA is filed under the name uncultured bacterium. RNAcentral describes it as "partial 16S ribosomal RNA". It matches the Rfam family "Bacterial small subunit ribosomal RNA", at positions 28 to 507 of the family's 1533-position model. The record is from RNAcentral.
GAUGAACGCUGGCGGCGUGCCUAAUACAUGCAAGUCGAGCGAACGGACGAGAAGCUUGCUUUUCUGAUGUUAGCGGCGGACGGGUGAGUAACACGUGGAUAACCUACCUAUAAGACUGGGAUAACUUCGGGAAACCGGAGCUAAUACCGGAUAAUAUUUUGAACCGCAUGGUUCAAAAGUGAAAGACGGUCUUGCUGUCACUUAUAGAUGGAUCCGCGCUGCAUUAGCUAGUUGGUAAGGUAACGGCUUACCAAGGCAACGAUGCAUAGCCGACCUGAGAGGGUGAUCGGCCACACUGGAACUGAGACACGGUCCAGACUCCUACGGGAGGCAGCAGUAGGGAAUCUUCCGCAAUGGGCGAAAGCCUGACGGAGCAACGCCGCGUGAGUGAUGAAGGUCUUCGGAUCGUAAAACUCUGUUAUUAGGGAAGAACAUAUGUUUAAGUAACUGUGCACGUCUUGACGGUACCUAAUCAGAAAGCCACGGCUAACUACGUG